RNAcentral lists this ribosomal RNA (497 nucleotides) under uncultured bacterium. RNAcentral's name for it is "partial 16S ribosomal RNA". It matches the Rfam family "Bacterial small subunit ribosomal RNA", at positions 28 to 507 of the family's 1533-position model. The record is from RNAcentral.
GAUGAACGCUGGCGGCGUGCCUAAUACAUGCAAGUCGAGCGAACAGACGAGGAGCUUGCUCCUCUGACGUUAGCGGCGGACGGGUGAGUAACACGUGGAUAACCUACCUAUUAGACUGGGAUAACUUCGGGAAACCGGAGCUAAUACCGGAUAAUAUAUUGAACCGCAUGGUUCAAUAGUGAAAGACGGUUUUGCUGUCACUUAUAGAUUGAUCCGCGCCGCAUUAGCUAGUUGGUAAGGUAACGGCUUACCAAGGCAACGAUGCGUAGCCGACCUGAGAAGGUGAUAGGCCACACUGGAACUGAGACGCGGUUCUGACUCCUACGCGAGGCAGCAAUAGGGAAUCUUCCGCAAUAGGCGGAAGCUUGCCGGAGCAACGCCGCGUGAGUGAUGAAGGUCUUCGGAUCGUAAAACUCUGUGAUUAGGGAAGAACAAAUGUGUAAGUAAAUAUGCACGUCUCGACGGUCCCUAAUCAGAAAGCCACGGCUACCUCCGUG